CAAAAUGACUCUCGACAACGGAUAUCUCGGCUCUUGCAUCGAUGAAGAACGUAGCAAAAUGCGAUACGUGGUGUGAAUUGCAUAAUCCCGUGAACCAUCCAGUUUUUGAACGCAAGUUGCGCCCAAAGCCUUUUGGUUGAGGGCACAUCUGCCUGGAU
Molecule: ribosomal RNA, 158 nt
Filed under: Garcinia morella
Lineage: Eukaryota; Viridiplantae; Streptophyta; Magnoliopsida; Malpighiales; Clusiaceae
Description: 5.8S ribosomal RNA
Rfam family: 5.8S ribosomal RNA
About the family: 5.8S ribosomal RNA (5.8S rRNA) is a component of the large subunit of the eukaryotic ribosome. It is transcribed by RNA polymerase I as part of the 45S precursor that also contains 18S and 28S rRNA.
Source: RNAcentral